AAACACCAUGAAAGGAAGGGAGAAGAGGACAGUUUUCCGAUUGCUGUAAAAUUUCUUUUCAGGAAUUGUAAAAUGGUUCGGAAUGGAGCGAGAAGUGGAAUGGAAUCAGAUGCAAUGAGAGGAAUCUCGAACUAGAAGUGGAUGAAAGAAAAGAGAAAGUUCAUGAAAUGAAGGGUGAAGAAGGUUUUCCGAUUGCUGUAAAAUUUCUUUUCAGGGUUCGGAAUGGAGCGAGAAGUGGAAUGGAAUCAGAUGUAAUGACAGGAAUCUCGAAAUAGAAGUGGAUGAAAGAAAAGAGAAACACCAUG
This is a non-coding RNA of Parasteatoda tepidariorum (common house spider), 305 nucleotides long. The record is from RefSeq and is a predicted model, not a curated record. NCBI's taxonomy places the organism in Eukaryota, Metazoa, Arthropoda, Arachnida, Araneae, Theridiidae.